Molecule: long non-coding RNA, 2609 nt
Filed under: Sus scrofa (pig)
Lineage: Eukaryota; Metazoa; Chordata; Mammalia; Artiodactyla; Suidae
Description: lncRNA (ENSSSCG00055014443.1)
Source: RNAcentral
AUGUAUAUUCAUUUUCAGAAUCUUUUCCCUUAUAGGUUAUCACAAAAUAUUGAGCAUAGCUCCCUGCAGGUCCUUGCCACCUGGAGUCCUGGAAUGGGGACAGCUGGAUUUUGUAGCCUCUCUCUCCCUUCUUUGCAGAUUCUCUGGAUAGAGACACGGAAAUUUCACAGGCUGACUCUGGGUCAAGCCAUGCGAAACAGAAGUUCUUUGUGGAGCCAGUUUCUGUUCUGUUCAGCAGUUCACACGUUUACUUCCAGCUCCAAGGUCCCCUGGCCGGACCCUGAAGAACCUUCCACGCAGGUUGACAUAGUCACUGCCGCUGUCCCAGAAGCAGGGUGUCUCCUUCCAGUUCACUGCUGUUCCUUUUUAGCUUUUUGCCCUUGGAUUGGUUGGUUGCUCUCGACAACAAUUUGGGGCAUUUAAAUGAUAAUGUGGAUAUCAACAUAUUCUAAGAAUUCAGAAAGCAUCAAAAUAAUGACAAUAUUCACAAAGGCUGCACAAGAUGGCUUUAUUUUUGAGGAUGUAGUGAAACUCCAGCCUUCCGUACUGCUGAUCCUUCCACCAAAUUCAGUCGUACUUCAGAGGAUUACAAAGAACUUGGCAACAGAGUGCUGGGAGGUAAAUAUGUCUUUAAAGCUGAGCUGGGUUGAGGGAGAACAGGGACAGCUUUUUUUUUUUUUUUUUUCUUUCCCAUUAUUAUGGUAAUGUUUGGAUAUCUGAGGGGAACUGAUGGGGCAUAAAAACCCAGUCUAAUUUCUUAGGCAACCAGUCAUACCCAUUUGACAAUGUUUUCUCCUGUCCUUAUAGUAUUCUUUCUAGUUCUGGCCCUUUUUUCAAAGUGUUAGAUUGCUACCCUAAUUUACUUCAGAAUGCAUACUAGAAAGACUGUGAUUUAUUGCUCAGUGUCUACUGUUUAUGACCUUGUGUUUGUCAAUAGCCAAGAUCAGUUUUCGUCAUGUUAGUAAGAGAAGUUUAAGAUGUGAAUGAGAUGUCAAAAUUCCCUUUCCCCUGGUUUCUUCUGUGUUAUUUGCUACAAAAUUUUCAGUGGGAGUUCAAGAGUGAAGAGAUAUAAAUAACCAAGGAGCAUGUAGUCAGUUUGUGAAUGACGAAGAAAGUUAAUGAUAUAUUGUGUUUCAUUCUUUUAACAGCAAUUUCCAUCUGAGCAUCUUAGCAUUUUAGAACUAAUGAGUAUUAACAGAUAAAGAUGUAUUAUUACAUUAAACAUAAUCAGUAUGUUAGAAAUAUACUAAUGUGAGUUCCCGUCGUGGCUCAGUGGUUAACAAACCCGACUAGUAACCCUGAUCUCUGGCCUCACUCAGUGGAUUAAGGAUCUGUCGUUCCCAGGAGCUGUGGUCUAGGUCGCAGAUGUGGCUCGGAUCCCGCAUUGCUGUGGCUCUGGUGUAGGCCAGUGGCUACAGAGCUGGUUAGACCCGUAGCCUGGGAGCCUCCAUAUGCCAUGGAUGCAGCCCUAGAAAAGACAAAAAGACGAAAAAAAAUAUAUAUAUAUAUACUAAUGGACAAAAACUGUCUUUGUGGUAAUAGCAGGAUCCGGCACCAUAUGCCAUAGGACUCAGGAUGAGUCUUGCCCACUUGCGUGUCAGGUAAUAGGCAUACAGACUUUGGUUGCAGCUGUAUGGGCCAUGAAACAGCUCAAUCCUUCUCAGCCAUGGUCUUGGAACCAUGGAAAAUACUGGAAGACACUGUUUUAGGCAAUCACCCAAGGAUGAGAGAGACUUUGUGGAAGUCCAGGUUUCUGGAGGAGAAGUUCUAGCACACUGUUGGAGCAAAAACGUGUGUUUGGACACAGUGGAGAGGGUAAAAAGAACAACUUGACUUUAUCCACACAAAGCCUCCCCCAGGGUAGCACAACUUAGAGCCAAGGGAGAACAUUUCAGCCUUUGCUUUCUCUUGUGAGGAAAAAAAUGAGAGCACGUGAGUGAGUACCUGGCUUCCUCUGUUGUGUGGGAUGCCGCCAAAGAGGCUCAUUUUUCUCUCACCCCAUACAGAGUACUGUAUCAUGAGCUGCAUGACUUGGGAAUGGGAAAAGGCUGGAGAGUGGCAGGCAGAACUCAGACAAGGCAUAAAAGGCUGUGGAUCCUACUAACUUUGUUAUGGACUCCAUCAAAAGCCCACUGAUGAGCUGCUGGGAAUGCCUCAUCUAUGGAUCCCCCACAGCUGGCCCACAGGCACCUCACUCAUACACUCCCUCAACCUGUGGCCAGCUCACUCAGAAAACUAAAAAUAGAAUUACCACUUGAUCCAGCAAUCCCACUCCUGAGCAUCUAUCAGAGAAAACCGUAACUUGAAAAGAUACAUGCACUGCAAUGUUCAUUACAGCACUAUUUGCAAUAGCCAAGAUGUGAAAACAACCUCAGUGUCCAUGAACAGAGGAGUGGAUCAAGAAGACGUGGUACAUAUACACAUUGGAAUAUUACCCAGCCAUUAAAAGGAAAGAAAUAGCAGCAUUUUUAGCAACAUGGAUGGACCUAGAAAUUAUCAUGCUAAGCGAAGUCAGUCAGUGAGACACCAACAUCAGAUGCUCUCACUUACAUGUGGAAUCUAAAAAAAGGACACAGGAGUUCCCGUCGUGGCGCAGUGGUUAACGAAUC